Long non-coding RNA from Chelonoidis abingdonii (Abingdon island giant tortoise), 514 nucleotides. RefSeq lists it as uncharacterized. The record is from RefSeq and is a predicted model, not a curated record. NCBI's taxonomy places the organism in Eukaryota, Metazoa, Chordata, Testudines, Testudinidae.
GCCUGCUUAACCUAGCAACAAAGGUUGCCAUGGACACAUCACCUUGGUGUUCCACUCUGCACUGACUCCCCAUAGAACACUGAGUCCAGUUUAGGAAUUGCUAACAUUCAAAUACCUCUCUGCUUUAUGGGACUGUCCUGAGGUACCAGUAAGAUCACCUCUCUCUUCGCAACCUUGACCAUCCACAACAGCUGAGUUCUACCAGAAUCAUGAAACUAUCAAUGAGUAAAGGGAGUCUCACGAUGGCUAGACACAGAAUUUUCACAGGAGCUGGACCUACACUAUUGAACUCACUCCUACUGCAGUCACAUAUGCUGCUGGGCUGUCAAGUUGAGAGGGGACAAGGCAAGAGAUUCUGCAUUAAGAUUUACGUGGGCAUCUUUCUGACAUCACAACAUGACUAUGGAUUGAUGUGCAUUGGCUGAUACGAGUUUGACCGAACAGGAACAAACUCAUCACUACUCAAACGUGGAACUUAUAAGAAUGACUAUUAUCAAUCAAUGACAACUAGUAU